AGGGCACCACCAGGAGUGGAGCCUGCGGCUUAAUUUGACUCAACACGGGAAAACUCACCCGGCCCGGACACUGUAAGGAUUGACAGACUGAGAGCUCUUUCUUAAUUCAGUGGGUGGUGGUGCGUGGCCGUUCUUAGUUGGUGGAGCGAUUUGUCUGGUUAAUUCCGAUAACGAACGAGACUCUGGCCUAUUAAAUAGACGAGGUAUCUAAAUGUAUCUCGCGCUUCUUAGAGGGACAAGCGGCGUCUAGUCGCAUGAAAAAGAGCAAUAACAGGUCUGUGAUGCCCUUAGAUGUCCGGGGCUGCACGCGCGCUACAAUGAAAAUAGCAGCGCGUGUCGAAAACCUUUUCUGGAAAGAAUUGGUAAACGCGAAAUAUUUUCGUGAUAGGGAUAGGGGAUUGAAAUUAUUGCCCUUGAACGAGGAAUUCCCAGUAAAUUCGAGUCAUCAGCUCGAGUUGAUUACGUCCCUGCCCUUUGUACACACCGCCCGUCGCUACUACCGAUUGGAAGAUUGAGUGA
Molecule: ribosomal RNA, 519 nt
Filed under: uncultured eukaryote
Lineage: Eukaryota
Description: SSU rRNA
Rfam family: Eukaryotic small subunit ribosomal RNA
Source: RNAcentral